GUUGGGCCUGCUCGGUGAGAAGAAAAAUUUAACAGCUGCGGUAUUAUAACUGUACUAAGGUAGCAUAAUAAUUUGCCUUAUAAAUUAAGGCUAGAAUGAAUGGUUUGACGAAAAUUAGACUGUCUUUAUUUUAUUUGUUAGAAAUUAAUUUUUAUAGUGAAAAAGCUUGAAUAAUUUAAGGGGACGAGAAGACCCUAUUGAGCUUUAUUUAUUAAUAUUUAAAUAUAAAUAUAUAAUUUAUAUUAUGAAAAUUAUGUUGUAUAUAUAUAUAUUUGAUUGGAUUUAAUUUUGAUUGGGGUGAUCAAGGAAUAAAGAUAAAGUAACUUCCUUAAAAUUAAUGAUUGUUUUUAUGGAGUAAUAAACCAAGUUUUUUGCUUAUAAGAUAAGUUACCAUAGGGGUAACAGCGUAAUUUUUUUUGAGAGUUCAUAUUGAAAAAAGAGAUUGCGACCUCGAUGUUGGAUUAAAAAUUACCUUAAGG
RNAcentral lists this ribosomal RNA (479 nucleotides) under Callistoctopus minor (long arm octopus). Its description in RNAcentral is "partial 16S ribosomal RNA". It matches the Rfam family "Bacterial large subunit ribosomal RNA", at positions 1852 to 2552 of the family's 2925-position model. Lineage: Eukaryota; Metazoa; Mollusca; Cephalopoda; Octopoda; Octopodidae. The record is from RNAcentral.